Molecule: ribosomal RNA, 253 nt
Filed under: uncultured bacterium
Lineage: Bacteria
Description: partial 16S ribosomal RNA
Rfam family: Bacterial small subunit ribosomal RNA
Source: RNAcentral
UACAGAGGUCUCAAGCGUUGUUCGGAAUCAUUGGGCGUAAAGGGCGCGUAGGCGGCCGAUCAAGUCGGAGGUGAAAUCCCUCGGCUCAACUGAGGAAUUGCCUUCGAUACUGUUCGGCUUGAGUCCUGGAGAGGGUAGCGGAAUUCCCGGUGUAGCGGUGAAAUGCGUAGAGACCGGGAAGAACACCAGUGGCGAAGGCGGCUACCUGGACAGGUACUGACGCUGAAGCGCGAAAGCUAGGGGAGCAAACAGG